Camponotus floridanus (Florida carpenter ant) is the source of this 266-nucleotide long non-coding RNA. RefSeq lists it as uncharacterized. The record is from RefSeq and is a predicted model, not a curated record. Lineage: Eukaryota; Metazoa; Arthropoda; Insecta; Hymenoptera; Formicidae. The transcript has 3 exons.
UGCUAUUAUGAAAAAAUAUAGUGACAAUGCGAAACGUUGUACGAUUGUACUGACAGCGUGGCAUUAUGCAUCGGAGCAAUUACAAUGGUAGCAAUAGGAACACUGCUUAUUGCGUAUCUUCAACAUACCUGUGGUAUGUUUAGAAUUUCCAGUUAUCGUAUUAGACACGCAGUGCAUGUAAAUACAUUAGAAAACAUUAAAUCAAAGGAGAAGAAUUUAAUAUUGAAAAGAAUAAUUAGUGCUGUAAAUAUUCAUCGUAAGGCAAU